RNAcentral lists this ribosomal RNA (498 nucleotides) under uncultured bacterium. RNAcentral's name for it is "partial 16S ribosomal RNA". It matches the Rfam family "Bacterial small subunit ribosomal RNA", at positions 29 to 523 of the family's 1533-position model. The record is from RNAcentral.
AUUGAACGCUGGCGGAAUGCUUUACACAUGCAAGUCGAACGGUAACGCGGGGCAACCUGGCGACGAGUGGCGAACGGGUGAGUAAUGCAUCGGAACGUGCCCAGUAGUGGGGGAUAGCCCGGCGAAAGCCGGAUUAAUACCGCAUACGACCUACGGGUGAAAGGGGGGGAUCGCAAGACCUCUCGCUAUUGGAGCGGCCGAUGUCAGAUUAGGUUGUUGGUGGGGUAAAGGCCUACCAAGCCGACGAUCUGCAGCUGGUCUGAGAGGACGACCAGCCACACUGGGACUGAGACACGGCCCAGACUCCUACGGGAGGCAGCAGUGGGGAAUUUUGGACAAUGGGCGAAAGCCUGAUCCAGCCAUGCCGCGUGCGGGAAGAAGGCCUUCGGGUUGUAAACCGCUUUUGUCAGGGAAGAAAUCUUCUGGGUUAAUACCUCGGGAGGAUGACGGUACCUGAAGAAUAAGCACCGGCUAACUACGUGCCAGCCGCCGCAGUAA